ACUUCGGUGGUUUAGUGGUAGAAGACGCCCUUGGUUUUGGUGAAACACGGGUUUAACUCCCGUCUGAGGUC
This is a non-coding RNA of Parelaphostrongylus tenuis, 71 nucleotides long. The record is from the annotation of a GenBank genome assembly. Lineage: Eukaryota; Metazoa; Nematoda; Chromadorea; Rhabditida; Metastrongylidae.